UACGUAGGGGGCUAGCGUUGUCCGGAAUCACUGGGCGUAAAGGGUUCGCAGGCGGAAUAACAAGUCAGAUGUGAAAGGCAUGGGCUCAACCCAUGUAAGCAUUUGAAACUGUAAUUCUUGAGAAGUGGAGAGGUAAGUGGAAUUCCUAGUGUAGCGGUGAAAUGCGUAGAUAUUAGGAGGAAUACCUGUGGCGAAGGCGACUUACUGGACACAAAUCUGACGCUGAGGAACGAAAGCGUGGGGAGCAAACAGG
This 253-nucleotide ribosomal RNA is filed under the name uncultured bacterium. Its description in RNAcentral is "partial 16S ribosomal RNA". It matches the Rfam family "Bacterial small subunit ribosomal RNA", at positions 524 to 776 of the family's 1533-position model. The record is from RNAcentral.